CAACGAGUUGCGAACUCGCGAGAGUAAGCUAAUCUCUUAAAGCCGUUCUCAGUUCGGACUGUAGGCUGCAACUCGCCUACACGAAGUCGGAAUCGCUAGUAAUCGCGGAUCAGCAUGCCGCGGUGAAUACGUUCCCGGGCCUUGUACACACCGCCCGUCACACCAUGGAAGUUUGCAAUGCCCAAAGUCGGUGGCCUAACCAUUUGGAGGGAACCGCCUAAGGCAGGGGCAGAUGACUGGGGUGAAGUCGUAACAAGGUACC
RNAcentral lists this ribosomal RNA (262 nucleotides) under uncultured bacterium. Its description in RNAcentral is "partial 16S ribosomal RNA". It matches the Rfam family "Bacterial small subunit ribosomal RNA", at positions 1240 to 1500 of the family's 1533-position model. The record is from RNAcentral.